UUUACCUCUUCGUUCCAAAUAUGUCUUGCAAUACAGUUCGGAUAAAGGGGCAGCACUGACAAGUCUGAUGAGCCUUAUCCAACCCCUUGUGGUGCUUGGGGUGUCUUUACUUCCUCCUGGGCCUGGGGUGCCUUAGGUACCUCUACCGCCUCCUGCACAUAGGGUACAUUUAGUGUAUGAGGUACCUCUUUUAUCUCGGAUGUCAGAACAACUGAAAUCUGUCACCUAUAGGAAGAUGGAGGCAAGGAUGCAUAAGUAGGUGACACCCGUCUCCUACGGGAAGAAGAAGGCGGAGAUACAUGAGCCCCAAAAGCUCACACCUCCACAUCAACCAGGCUAUAGGUAACAUGAGCCUGCAAAGGGUGAAUUUUUUUCCCUCUGCAUGUUGUGUAACCCUAUCCUACCUUAAUCAAUUUUUUCUAUCAGCAAUAAUCGAAGGCUUUUGAUGCUCAACAAACAUAAACGGAGAAAACGAAAAAACGCUUAUGUAAAAAAGCUGCAACGACAACGCGAUUCACAACUUCAACUUUCCGGAUUCACGUCUGGAUUGUGUUCAUCCUCAACUUCUUCUUCUUCUUCAGAUUAUGACGCGUCAAGUGAAGAGCAUGGAAUUGAAAUCAAGAAAACUCACCGGAUUGAAGCAUUGAUGCAACCAGGUAUGGAAUCUUAUCCUUCCCCCACUUCGACUUGCUUUCUUCUUUCAAAUUCCUCUGCGCUAUCGUGUACUCAUUGAUUUUGUGAUGAAUGGUUGUGAGAAAUGCGGCGAGGUUGGGAUUCUCUGAGAGUUGCGGAGAGAGAUUGAGAGUGGAGUGUUUGAUUUGUGCUGUAAUUUUUUCCGUGAAUUGUGACUGGAUGAAGAGUGAUGAACAAUGAUUUAUUGGACCCCUAUUCUGUUACGAAACUCACAUGAAGUUCAUCCUAAAAUUCACUUAUCAGUUAGAAAUUCAAUAGUUUGUUAGAGUUUAUAUGUUAGUUGGAAAUUAGUUUAGAAGUUAGUGAUUUUGGAUUUCAGUUAUUAGUUAGAAUGUUUUCAGUUUAAUCUCAGUUAUGAGGUGAAGAUGAGUUGUGCCACCUUUGUUAUUGAAAAGAAAUGUUUAGUUGGGAAAAAGUCAAUUUUUGUGAAAAAUGCUCAGACUGUUAGUUUGUUACUGCUGAAUGAUAUGCUUGGAUUGAAAUCAUGCUAUGGCUGCAACAUUCUGUUUUUGCCUAUUGCUAGUUAUUAGUUAAUUGUUGUUCUGUUAAUUGGAAAUGCAUUGCUAUGUUGGAUGAAACUCUGUAUGCAGUCAAAUCUAUUAGAAGUUUGUGUGGAUUAAAUUUCUAUUAGGCUCUGAUUCAAUUAAAUGAAAAUUAUGAAAUGUUGUUAUUCUAAUUGUUCUAUUAGUGAUCUACUGAUACGCUGUAAAAUAUUGUUAACUGCAAUGCUAGUGAUUGGUGUUAGUUUAUUAAUGUUAUGGAUGAAUGGUUAGAUAUGUGAAGUUAGUUGUAGUUGGAAGUUGUUAGUUUAAAAAUCUAAAGAGAGUGGUUAAUUGAAUAGUUCUGAAGGUUUUGUCGAUUUCAUUUUGCAAGUUAAGAACAGAAUGCAGGUGAACUGUUUGUGAAAGUUGCUGUUAGAAAAAAUGCAGGAUUAUAAUAAAUUGGUUUCGUUGUGAUUUUUUUAUGCAGGGCCUUUGUUAUGUAUGAUGCAGGUGAUUUAAUGUUGCUUUGUUAUGACUGUUAUGUAGGGUUGUGAUCAUUGGCUUGCUUGUGGAAAUUUGAUGCUUGGACAUGUUAAUCAUGGAGCUAUUGUGGGAUGUGAAUGCUAGGACAUGUUAUUGACGUAUUGUAUGGUGAUGUUGAAAAAUGACUUGGAACUUAGGAUUGUUAAUGGUUGGAUUUUUUUGUAAUUUUGAAAUUGACAUUGUAUUGGUUUGAAUGUAGGGUUAUGUAUUAUUAUGUUGUAAUUAGAAUUAAUGGCAUGGUUUGUGGUUUGUAAAUUUGAAUUGGUUUAGGUGUUGAAAUGUAAAAUGUGUAUGAAUUGAAUUCAAUUGAAUUGGAAUUGGCUUGUAAUUUGAAUCCGUUGAAUUGGAAUGUGAUUGUUAAGUUGUUUUGAAAUUUGAAUGGUUCAUGAUGUAAUGAGAGAUGAUUUGAGUUGAAAUUUGUACAUGGUUGGAAAUAGAAUGAUUGAAUGAAUGGUCAUGGCAUGGUUGAUGUAUGGGAAAUGUCUUGAAAUGUAUGAUUUGAAAUGGUUAUGUAAACAUUUUUUUGUAAUGGCAAAACCUAAA
This 2261-nucleotide long non-coding RNA is filed under the name Lathyrus oleraceus (garden pea). Its description in RNAcentral is "Pisum sativum (pea) long non-coding RNA (PSAT_LNC010226)". Lineage: Eukaryota; Viridiplantae; Streptophyta; Magnoliopsida; Fabales; Fabaceae. The record is from RNAcentral.